AUGGCCUCCGCCCUCUCCGCCCCGGCGGCCUCCGCCGUCGUCGCCGCCCGGUGCAAGGUGUUCGGAGGAGGAAGGAGCGAUGGGAGGGCCGGAUGCCGCGUCGGGAUCCUCGCGAGGAAGAAUACUGGCCACAUAACGAUGGCACUUGCAGUAGACGCUUCUCGCUUUGAAGGAGUGCCGAUGGCCCCUCCAGACCCGAUUCUUGGGGUUUCGGAAGCAUUUAAAGCUGAUACAAGUGAUCUGAAGCUCAACCUUGGUGUUGGCGCCUACAGAACGGAAGAGCUACAGCCCGCUGUCCUCAAUGUUGUCAAGAAGGCUGAAAAACUUAUGUUGGAGAAAGGGGAAAACAAGGAGUAUCUGCCUAUUGAAGGUUUCGCUGCAUUUAACAAAGCAACUGCAGAUCUAUUGCUUGGAGCUGACAAUCCUGUCAUCAAGCAAGGACGGGUUGCUACUCUUCAGUCUCUCUCAGGGACUGGAUCAUUACGCCUUGCUGCAGCAUUUAUUCAGAGAUACUUCCCUGAUGCAAAAGUACUUAUAUCAUCUCCCACAUGGGGAAACCACAAAAACAUAUUCAAUGAUGCUAGAGUACCAUGGUCAGAAUACCGGUAUUAUGAUCCCAAGACUGUUGGGCUGGAUUUUGAGGGAAUGAUAGCUGACAUACAGGCUGCCCCAGAGGGGUCUUUUGUUCUGCUACAUGGUUGUGCUCACAAUCCAACUGGAAUAGACCCAACUCCUGAACAGUGGGAGAAACUGGCAGAUGUGAUUGAAGAGAAAAAACAUAUGCCUUUCUUUGAUGUUGCCUAUCAGGGUUUUGCCAGUGGAAGCCUUGAUGAAGAUGCAUCUUCUGUCAGGCUUUUUGUUAAGCGUGGCCUGGAAGUGUUCGUUGCACAGUCUUACAGCAAGAACCUUGGUCUAUAUGCAGAAAGGAUCGGUGCGAUAAAUGUCAUUUGCUCAGCACCGGAAGUUGCAGACAGGGUGAAGAGCCAGUUGAAGCGAUUGGCGCGGCCCAUGUACUCAAACCCACCUAUUCACGGUGCCAAGAUCGUCGCCAACGUCGUUGGAGACCCUACCAUGUUCGGUGAGUGGAAGGAAGAGAUGGAACAAAUGGCCGGUCGGAUCAAGAACGUUCGGCAGAAGCUUUACGAUAGCUUGACUGAAAAGGACCAGUCUGGCAAGGACUGGUCUUUCAUUCUGAGCCAGAUAGGCAUGUUCUCCUUCACGGGCUUGAACAGACCCCAGAGCGAUAACAUGACCGAUAAAUGGCACAUAUACAUGACCAAGGACGGCAGGAUUUCGUUGGCAGGGUUGAACCUGGCGAAGUGCGAGUACCUUGCUGAUGCCAUCAUCGACUCCUUCCACAAUGUCAACUAG
Molecule: ribosomal RNA, 1371 nt
Filed under: Triticum aestivum (bread wheat)
Lineage: Eukaryota; Viridiplantae; Streptophyta; Magnoliopsida; Poales; Poaceae
Description: partial small subunit ribosomal RNA
Source: RNAcentral